RNAcentral lists this transfer RNA (89 nucleotides) under Streptomyces longispororuber. Its description in RNAcentral is "tRNA-Cys". The record is from RNAcentral. Lineage: Bacteria; Bacillati; Actinomycetota; Actinomycetes; Kitasatosporales; Streptomycetaceae.
CGAGCUGCUGGCCAAGCGGGGCGGGGCCUUCUACAGCGAGGCCGCCGUGGACCUCGCCGCGUCGCUGCUCGGCGGUGGCGGCAGCCCGU